UAACCUGGUUGAUCCUGCCAGUAGUGUGUGCUCAUUGAAAGGAUUAAGCCAUGCAUGUCUAAGAUCGGGUGUUUAUACAACCUAAUCUGCGGACGGCUCAUUAAAUCGGUUAAAAUGUACACGGCAAUAACUUACUAGUCGGAUAACACUGGUAAAUCUAGAGCUAAUACGUGCUUCCACUUCGGUGGGCAUUUAUUAGGUUGAAGCCAAUCGCUCUUCGGAGUGUUUAGGUGAUUCAUAAUAACUUAGCAGAUCGCGCAAGCGACAAGCCGUUCCAUUUUCCGCUCUAUCACACUUUCGACGGUAGAAUAGGGGUCUACCGUGGUAAUAACGGAUAACGGAGAAUUAGGGUUUGACUCCGGAGAUGGAGCCUGAGAAAUGGCUACAACUUCUAAGGAAGGCAGCAGGCGCGAAAAUUCUCCAAUGGCCAAAGGCCGAGAGAGCGACUCAACAUAACGAGAUUUUCUCUAUGAGAAAAUCAUCGCAAUGAGUACAGCAUACAACACUCUUCGAGAAACAAUUGGAGGGCAAGUUCUGGUGCCAGCAGCCGCGGUAAUUCCAGCUCCAAUAGUGCACAUUAAAGUUGCUGCGAUUAAAAAGCACGUAGCCGGAUUUUGGGGUGCCUGUAUCGACCCCACCCAGUAGGGUGGUGUGUUGAACACGGGUGUCCUUUCGCUUGGGUGUGACUUUCGGGUCUCGCUCGGGCAUAUUACCAUGAGGAAAUUGGAGUGCUCAAGGCAUGCGUCUUGCAGUUGAACAGUACAGCAUGGGAUAAUUUUACAUGACGUGUUUCCAUUCUAUUGGUUUCUGGGAACACGCAUUGAUUAAUGGGGGCGGUUGAGGUCCUUCGUACUCAAAUGUUAGCAGUGGAAUGCUCAGACCAUUUGAAGACGAACAAAGGCGAAAGCAAUGGACUUACACGUUCUCGUCGGUCAAGUACGAUAGCAUGAGGAGAGAAGGCGAUUAGUUACCGCCGUAUUUCAUGCCGUAAACGAUGCCACCUGGGGAUUGGGAAUCCAAGAAGCUUCUCAGGACCCUCCGAGAAAUCAAAGUCAUCAGGCUUCGGGGGAAUUACGCUCGCAAGAGUGAAACUUAAAGGAAUUGACGGAAGGCUGCCUCAAGCUGUGGAGUCUGCGGCUUAAUUUGACUCAACGCGGGGAACCUCACCAGGGCCAGACACAGCAAGGAUUGACAGGUUAAGUGGGCCUUUCAUGAUUCUGUGGAUGGUGGUGCAUGGCCGCUGAAAGUGAGUGAUGUGAGUUGUCUGCUUUAUUGCGAUAACUAACGAGACCUCCGCUGUUAAAUAGUCAGCUUUAGAUUUUUUCUAGAGUAUGGCUUCUUAACGGGACUACUGUAGUGAUACAGGGGAAGCGGGAGGCUAUAACAGGUCUGUGAUGCCCA
RNAcentral lists this ribosomal RNA (1401 nucleotides) under uncultured eukaryote. RNAcentral describes it as "SSU rRNA". It matches the Rfam family "Eukaryotic small subunit ribosomal RNA", at positions 1 to 1473 of the family's 1831-position model. The record is from RNAcentral.